Molecule: unclassified non-coding RNA, 352 nt
Filed under: soil metagenome
Description: partial contains 5.8S ribosomal RNA, internal transcribed spacer 2, and large subunit ribosomal RNA
Rfam family: 5.8S ribosomal RNA (bases 1-120)
Source: RNAcentral
GAUGAAGAACGUAGCGAAAUGCGAUAAGUAAUGUGAAUUGCAGAAUUCAGUGAUUCAUCGAAUCUUUGAACGCACAUUGCGCCCGCCAGUAUUCUGGCGGGCAUGCCUGUUCGAGCGUCAUUACAACCCUCAGGCCCCCGGGCCUGGCGUUGGGGAUCGGCGGAGCCCCCCGUGGGCACACGCCGUCCCCCAAAUGCAGUGGCGGUCCCGCCGCAGCUUCCAUCGCGUAGUAGCUAACACCUCGCGACUGGAGAGCGGCGCGGCCACGCCGUAAAACACCCAACUCUUCUGAAGUUGACCUCGAAUCAGGUAGGAAUACCCGCUGAACUUAAGCAUAUCAAUAAGCGGAGGA